Molecule: ribosomal RNA, 524 nt
Filed under: uncultured bacterium
Lineage: Bacteria
Description: partial 16S ribosomal RNA
Rfam family: Bacterial small subunit ribosomal RNA
Source: RNAcentral
GACGAACGCUGGCGGCGUGCCUAAUACAUGCAAGUCGAGCGCAGGAAACUGACGGAACUCUUCGGAGGGAAGGCAGUGGAAUGAGCGGCGGACGGGUGAGUAACACGUAAGGAACCUGCCUCAAGGAUUGGGAUAACUCCGAGAAAUCGGAGCUAAUACCGGAUAGUUCAACGGACCGCAUGGUCCGCUGAUGAAAGGCGCUCCGGCGUCACCUUGAGAUGGCCUUGCGGUGCAUUAGCUAGUUGGUGGGGUAACGGCCCACCAAGGCGACGAUGCAUAGCCGACCUGAGAGGGUGAGCGGCCACACUGGGACUGAGACACGGCCCAGACUCCUACGGGAGGCAGCAGUAGGGAAUCUUCCACAAUGGACGAAAGUCUGAUGGAGCAACGCCGCGUGAGUGAUGAAGGUUUUCGGAUCGUAAAACUCUGUUGUAAGGGAAGAACACGUACGAGAGGAAAUGCUCGUACCUUGACGGUACCUUACGAGAAAGCCACGGCUAACUACGUGCCAGCCGCCGCAGUAA